Molecule: long non-coding RNA, 2125 nt
Filed under: Homo sapiens (human)
Lineage: Eukaryota; Metazoa; Chordata; Mammalia; Primates; Hominidae
Description: HSALNT0009188
Source: RNAcentral
GUAAGAUGUGGUUUCUCCCCAUGAGCCCUCAAAUCUGCUGCAAAGACAGGAACCCAUAGAUAGCCUUUUCAAUGUGACAACCACAUACUUUGCAUACAGAAACCAUUUAUUUUUCAGAACAAUCCUCUGGGGUAGCUGCUAUUAUUAUCCCCUCUUUAUAGAUAAGGAGAUGGAGGCCCAGAGCAAAAGGCAGGAUGAUUAGAGCUGCAUUCUGUGAAGAUCUCCAUGGCAGCAGGACAUUCAUGACAGACAGGAGAGGCCAGGGAUGAGGAAUGACAAAGCGUUUGGUGACUGCAGUGGGAAUAAAGACAAAGGUUUGGACUCCCAAGGUGCCCCCGUGGAUUGAUGAUCAGUGUGGAGUGUGAGGGCAAGAACACUUCUGCCUGGCUCCCCGGAGAAAGGUCAAGAAAUGAAGAGAUUACAGCUGCAUAGAGAUGCCUGUCAAAUGACAAGUGCCUGGAGAAAGCAUUUUGAUGAAUGAACAACAGAAUGAUCACAAAACAGCCUUUGGGGCCAGCAGUGUGAUCUGGGUUGAGACUCCACUGCUCUUGUGGGAUCCUGGAGUGUCUGAUGGGAUGGGAAUUACAGUGGAUCCUUCACGACAGGGGUUUGAAGGGCAUGGUCCACUUUGGUCCACCUCUGCCACUCUGAGACAGAAGCACCAACCCCUCUUCUUCCUCCUCCUCCUCAGUCUACUCAGUGUGAAGAUAACAAGAAUGAAGAACUUUAUGAUGAUGCAUUUCCACUUAACGAACAAUAAAUAUAUUUUCUUUUCCUUGUGACUUUCUUAAUAAUAUUUUCUUUUCUCUAUCUUACUUUAUGGUAAGAAUCAGUAUAUAAUACAUAUAACAUACAAAAUAUGUGUUAAUCAGCUGUUUAUGUUAUUGAUAAGGCUCUGGUUGACAGUAGGCUAUUAGUAGUAGUUCUGUUUGGGGGGACUCAAAGUUAUACAUGGAUUUUCAGUUGCAUGGGAGCUGGCACCCCAAUCCUUGCGUUAUUCAAGGGUCAACUGUGCAUAGUUUCAGUGGUAAAUUUGAAAUGCAUAAUGCGGGGAUUCUCAAAUUUGAAGGAAGUGAUAUGGGGCAAAUGAAGCAAUCGUAGUGUGAAUGGGGUUAUCUGGGACUUGGGGACAAUGUCUGGUAAUAAACAAUGGUGUAGUUUGACAGGCCUGUGCUCUCUAUGUCAAUCGUUUCCCAGCACUGAUGCUGGUUUGUGAUGAGUGUUUCCCAAUCCACAGCAAAAUUAGAAAAAUAAGGCAAGUAUUGGGAGUUUUUUUCUAAUGCCUUCACUUCGUAAAAUUAAAAAGUCAUCUCACCCCUACUUAAAAAAUAUUUUUUCUGGUCUAGUAAGUACUAAAAUUAGGGAAACAUUGGUCUAUACAGCCUUGCUAAAUAGCAGUGUAGCCCUUCCCACAUUCCUUGACCACUUCCCAGGAAACCUGGUAUUGGUGAACAAUAAAUAAUCCUGAUUUUAACCUUUUUUCAGCCUCUGCCUUUCCUGGCUGAAGAGAUUUAGUUGGUAAACCUGCGUAUGAAUUAGUAGGCCUUUUCAUACAUCCUGUGACCACAGCUUACCUCUGAUUUCAAGUUAUACUCCUACAAAAAGUCCAGAAGGAAAAUGACUAUUUGUUUACUUCACAGUCUAAAGCUAAAUGUGGAUUUUAAUGAUUAUUACCAAUAUUCAGUAGCAUUUUUUCAAUGCACACAAGUGUAUAUCCAUUUCCCUGGUGAAAUCCAUGUUUUUCUGGCUGAAUAGAACAUCUAAUGGCACAAAGUUUUGAAUGCAUUCUGGAAAAAAUAACAUAUACAUUGCAUCUGAGCUUUUUUUUUUUUUGCACAAUUUAAGAAGACCUUUUUCUUUAAAAAUAAACAAAAUUGCAUAUAUUUUUUAAAAAGUUCAUAAAACUUACAAAAACUUGACUUGUCUUAAUUAAUUCUGUUUCUUAGAAAAGGGUUCCUGAGGGGGAUGAGGGAUCAAAGACUACACAUUGGGUACAGUAAAUACUGCUCAGGUGAUGGGCACACUAAAAUCUCAGAAAUCACCGCUAAAGAACUUAUUCAUGUACAAUAAAUAUAAAUUAAAAAAAAGAAAAAAAGUGUUCCAACUUGGUGAGACUGAUUGAAAU